AGUGAACGCUGGCGGUAGGCCUAACACAUGCAAGUCGAACGGCAGCACAGUAAGAGCUUGCUCUUACGGGUGGCGAGUGGCGGGCGGGUGAGGAAUACAUCGGAAUCUACUUUUUCGUGGGGGAUAACGGAGGGAAACAUACCCUAAUACAGCUAAGGACCAAAGGAGGAAAGCAGGGGACCUUCGGCCCUUGCGGCAUUGGAUAAGCCGAUGUCGGAUUGGCUAGUUGGCGGGGUAAAGGCCCACCAAGGCGACGAUCCGUAGCUGGUCUGAGAGGAUGAUCAGCCACACUGGAACUGAGACACGGUCCAGACUCCUACGGGAGGCAGCAGUGGGGAAUUUUGGACAAUGGGCGCAAGCCUGAUCCAGCCAUACCGCGUGGGUGAAGAAGGCCUUCGGGUUGUAAAGCCCUUUUGUUGGGAAAGAAAAGCAGCAGGCUAAUACCCCGCUGUUCUGACGGUACCCAAAGAAUAAGCACCGGCUAACUUCGUG
Molecule: ribosomal RNA, 492 nt
Filed under: uncultured bacterium
Lineage: Bacteria
Description: partial 16S ribosomal RNA
Rfam family: Bacterial small subunit ribosomal RNA
Source: RNAcentral